Molecule: long non-coding RNA, 1812 nt
Filed under: Homo sapiens (human)
Lineage: Eukaryota; Metazoa; Chordata; Mammalia; Primates; Hominidae
Description: HSALNT0380140
Source: RNAcentral
AAACUGUGCCACUAUUUGUACCAUCAUUUUCACCAAAAUCUAAAAAUGCUUUUUAUGACGUAUGGAGACAUUCUUCAUGUUUGUUUCAGUGGACACUCCUUGCAGAUGUAAAAAACUGAGAAAACUCACUUUUGGAAAGUGACCUAAAGAGUGUCAUUGAAGUGAAUUUUAAGUAGGCACGAUGAUUGUUUUCAUGGUUGCUGUUGGAUCAUAUCUCAGGAGCUGGAAUGACAGACAUUAUUGAACAAAGAAAUCAGGAUAGUGGAACUUAAAGGGCUUCAUCUCAGUGCUUUCAUAAGUAUGAAGUGCAUAUAUUUAUAAUUUUCACUAAUCACAGGGUAAAUAUAAAAUUGAUUCAUUAAAAAUGUUUCAUAAGAAUUCAAAGGACAUAGAAUUUUGUGAAAUGUAGUAUUUUUACUUAAGUGCCUUUUCUCUGCUUCUACCCCACAGCCAAUUUUUUAUAAACCAGUUGAUAACAUAAGUAGUUUUUGGGGGAUGAUACAUUACUUAUACAUUUUCUAUGUAGUAAACAUGUAUGUGUAUGUGUGUGGGUGUGUGUCUAAUUACUUUGUUGGACAGAUUCCUGUGGUUUGGAACUGCUGGGGCCAAGUUUAUACAAAAAUCUACAUUUUUGAGUAAACUCCCCAUGACUCUAGUAAGUUUCCACAGUAUUUGAGUAUUCUUUAUUUCCUAAAGCUGUACAAACAUCAGAUAAUCAAUAUUUGUAAGGAUCGAUAAUAUAAUUUAUAAUGAAAUUGCUUUAUCAGCUAUUAAUGUUAACUACAUCAUCUUCAUAUAGCCUUAUAACUCAUUUGUGCUAUUCCAUUUUCCUCUGUUCCUUUUAUUUUCACUUCCCUUGUAAUGUUAGUCUCUUUGUACUGAUUUCUGAAGAGUUCAUUUAUGAUUAAACAUGUUAACAUUUUGUCUAGAAUUGCAAAUAUGUUUUUUCUCAUUCAUUUUACUAUGGUGUUUUAUUUUUUGGUUAUACAGAAGUUGUAUAUUGAAAUAUAAUCUUGUUCUGUUUUAUGACUUUGGAGUUUUGUGGUUUUUUAAAACAUGUUUACAUUGGUAUCAUUUAUUUGUAUUGCCUUCUAUUUCAGCAGUUAGUUUGUCAUUUCUUUUUCCAUUAAUCAUCAUUCUGGUGUUAAUGAAUGCAUUAAAUAUUUAAAGUACUCACUUUGACCCGUGUAGUUAUCUGUUAAGUUCUACCAUAAAGAAAAUUUCCAGAAUAUUCCCUCUGUAUACUUGCAUUUUUUUCUAUCAAUUGACGCUUACAAUUAUUUUUGCAAGUUGGAAAAAAAUGCAGUAUUAAUUUCAUUUGCAACAAAUUUAAUAGAUUAAUUAGGAGAGAAUAGAUAUCUUUAAAAUUGAGUCUUCUGUCCAACUGCAAGGUAGGUCUUUCUAUUUUUAAUGGAAUAAUAAUUUGGGGAUAUUGCUAGUGCAGUUUUUUAAAGUAUUUUUUAAUACUAGGCAUUUUUUAGUUAUUUGUUAAUUUAGUGAUUUGGAUUAGUCAUUCAACUUGUCUAAUUGGUAUGUGAAAACUUUUUGUAUGUCUUUUCUAGUAAUCUUUACUGAAUUUCUAAAAUUAUGACUUUCUUGAACAAUCUGUCAUUUUAAUUACCUUGAUUAAAGUACAUUUGUAAGUACUUCUAGGAUAUAUGGAAGUAGAAAGUAUACUUGGCAAUUGGACUGUUAAUUGCAAUCCCCUUAGGUCAUGGUUGUUUUUGUUCUUAUUGGUAUUUUAGUAAUCUUUUAGAAGAAAGAUGUUUUACCAAAUUUGGUGACAGGUUUAAUAAAAUUUCUUUUUGUAUA